AUUAUACGCUGCUUUCAUUUACUUUCAUUAUUACUAACGUUAAUGUUUUGUUUAAUACUACUAUACUUUGCACAUUUGCGACUAAUAAAGCUUAAAAAUUGCAUAUUCAUUUGGCGGGGUACGCCUUGGCAAUGAUAGCUCAAACAAAUUCCACAUAUUUUGAUAUUUCAGUUCAAACUUUUUGAUAGAUUAGACAAUAAGAAAUAUAUC
Schizosaccharomyces pombe (fission yeast) is the source of this 210-nucleotide non-coding RNA. NCBI's taxonomy places the organism in Eukaryota, Fungi, Ascomycota, Schizosaccharomycetes, Schizosaccharomycetales, Schizosaccharomycetaceae. The record is from the annotation of a GenBank genome assembly.